ACUCCCCUCCUCUACUUCUGGUUGUCAUGAACUAAGCUCCUGUCCUCUGCCACACCCUUCCACCAUGAUGUUCCUGCCUUGAAGCCAGCCAACCAUGGACUAAAUCCCAUGAAACUAUGAGGUAAAAUGGGAAUUUAUUCUUUCAAGUAAAAAUUGUCUUUCAUGGAAAAACGUAUGUCCUGCUUGGCUCACACCUUCAACAAUUCCACAGUGUUUUUCUCAAGACAACUGUCAUACCCAGAAGGAAAUCUGAGACUAGGAAACCUGACCUUUGGAUGACCUUCUUAAUCUGGUCCCUGGACAGAACACCUGAGACACCUGAGAUCCCUGGGGAAUCCACGCUGCAAGAAAGUGCCAUCCUGGGGAAGACACCAUGCUAUCUCCUUAGUUGCCCUUCUUCUGCUCCUCCUUACUGACAAGACCUAACUUCGCUCAGGGUGACAAUGUAUCCAGUAUCUUAGAGUGAAAACACGAGGCCUGCAGGUUGAAUAGCUCUCUUGAGACUGCGAGGAUCAACCCACCAGCCAACGAUAGCAGAGCCUGGAUUCCUGAUGACUUCCUCUGCUUUGCUUACCAAGAGGAAGCUGACUUUCUUUCAGCUGAAGCUGCUGCGGUUCUGGGUCUGUUACAUGCAAUCAGAGGAAAUCUUUAAAUGAUGCAUAACUCAAUCUCAGUCUCAAAAGCCAGGCUGGGACUGGGGGUGUGGUCUAGUGGUAAAACAUGUGCUGAACAUGUGUGAGAUCCUGGGUUUAAUUUCUAGCAUGCACACACACUCACACACAGCCAAAAGUGUACACCAUUUGGAGAACUAGACAAGAAAAUUCUAAAGUUUACAAGGAAAAUUAGACAAAUAAUAACAGUAAUAAUCCCAGGACUCUGGGAGUCUGAGACAGAAGGAUCAAAAGUUUGAGGCCAACCUGGGCAACUUAGUGAGACCUUGCUUAAAAAUAAAAAUAGAAAAGAUCUGGGGAUGUGACUAUUGGUAGAGUACUACUGGGUUCCAUCCCCAGUAGCACAAAAACAAAACAAAACAAAAUCUAAAAAGGAAAAGAAAAACUGUAAAAGAUGAUUAGUAGUGGGGAAUAAUCCUCCCAGAUAUUAAAAUGCACUGCAAACCUACAGUAUAAUUAAAAUAGUGGGCUGUCUCCACUUAAAUAGGCACACAGUUUAAAAGGAAGCCCAGAAGUAUACUCAAAUACAUAUGGAAAUUUUGUCUAUGGUAGGAAUGGCACUUUGUAACCGUAGAGAGAAUAUAGACUACCCAAAAAUAGUUUUUACAACUGGGCAGCCUUAAGAGUGAGGCUGAACCCCC
RNAcentral lists this long non-coding RNA (1312 nucleotides) under Heterocephalus glaber (naked mole-rat). RNAcentral's name for it is "lncRNA (ENSHGLG00000048981.1)". Lineage: Eukaryota; Metazoa; Chordata; Mammalia; Rodentia; Bathyergidae. The record is from RNAcentral.